CUGUAGACGUUGAUCGUGGCUUGGUGGAAGUUGCGGAUCGAGCUUAGAUCGUCGUCGACGUUGCGCCGAGGAGCCGUUCGAGCGUACGUGCGUCGUGGUAGUGCCGUUGGAGGUCGAGCGUGCGCGUGGGUUCCGCUUCUUUCGACUUCUCGCCGUUGUUGGACUCGCUUUUGAGGUGGGUUGAAGUUACCGGAAUUUUCGGAUUUUCUCCUAAGCCUCAAUUGACAGCGUGUAUUUUUGGGUUUUGUAUAUCAUAUUUAAUAGCUUGAAUUCGUGGAUUUGUAUGUUCUUCGAAAUCUGAAUUUUGAGCAUAGUUAUUGGUUUAAAUAUAUUAUACAUGUUGGACUUGGAAUUGACUUAGGAGAAAACUAUAACUUCUACACUGUCAGUUUCUGAAAACUACCAUAUUUAGCUUUAAGAGCUGUAGUUUGUUUGUAUCGUCGCAGUUUGUAUGCGGUGGAUACUCAGAUUAGUAUAGGAUGAAUUUACGUUCGUGCUGGAUGCCGAGCUUAUUUUACAGUAGUGUGUAGACUGUUUCGGACUGUCGGGUGUCGUCGGGGUUGACGGUGAACCUAGUUUGCUGUUUUUGCAUCGGAUUGUGCCAAGGGCACAUGAGUUUUGGUUGUAGGACCAGUUAGACCCUUUUACUUUGAUUAUAGCCUGUGAAAGCUUGAUUGAGCUCGGCAGAGACAUACUUGCAUACUCGGUUGGGUAGCGCCCACGAGUGCCACUCCGGAGUUGGGCUUUGUGCG
This 752-nucleotide long non-coding RNA is filed under the name Ananas comosus (pineapple). RNAcentral's name for it is "long non-coding RNA (ACOM_LNC021037)". Lineage: Eukaryota; Viridiplantae; Streptophyta; Magnoliopsida; Poales; Bromeliaceae. The record is from RNAcentral.